GCUCCUGGGUGCGCGGGGCUGCCGCCGGCGGGGCCGAACUGCGGGGGCACGGGGGGCCGGGGCCGCGCUCGCCUCUGGAUUCUUUCUUACAUCGUGAACAUCUCUCCUGUGCAUGAAAUUGCUGUGAGAGAAAAUGGAUUUUGUCAGUUUGCUGCUUCUUUUCUUCUCGGCAGCGGCUGUGAGCAGAGCUCAGGUGCAGCAGGAGCUGUCGGCAGAGACCAGCGAGGGCACCGGCAUUAACAUCACCUGCUCACACCCCAACAUAAAGACCGGCGAUUACAUCCACUGGUACCGCCAGCUCCCGGGCCGAGGACCCGCAUUCCUCGUCAGCGCAGUUAGAGGUUCCAAGGAGGUUCCCGACCCGCAAGGGCGGCUGUCGGUGUCGUCGGACCACCGCUCCAGCGCCCUGUGGCUCGCCCGGCCCCGGCGCGGCGACGCGGCCGUGUAUUACUGCGCCGUGGCGCACGGGGAGCGAUGCCGGGGCUGCGGCCGGGCACGAACCGCUUUGGGCGGGACGGGGGCACAGUGCCGUCCGGGCCCGAAGGGGGCGCUGCCUGCAUGGCCGCCAAACUCCAUCCUGACCAGGGUGCACCUCCAUGAGUUCUCGAGAGAAAUGAGCACGGCACACACAGCAGCCAUUGACUGA
This is a non-coding RNA of Phasianus colchicus (ring-necked pheasant), 646 nucleotides long. NCBI's taxonomy places the organism in Eukaryota, Metazoa, Chordata, Aves, Galliformes, Phasianidae. The record is from the annotation of a RefSeq genome assembly.